Molecule: long non-coding RNA, 342 nt
Filed under: Phoenix dactylifera (date palm)
Lineage: Eukaryota; Viridiplantae; Streptophyta; Magnoliopsida; Arecales; Arecaceae
Description: long non-coding RNA (PDAC_LNC011602)
Source: RNAcentral
AAAAUGGGCUAAACAUGCUUCCAAAGGGUCAUCUGCCAGAAUAUAGGGAAGGGCUUCUUCUACAAGAUCGUCCAUUUUGUCAACUAGGAAGCACUCAUCUUCCCUUGCAGGUUGAUCAGAGGCAUGGAAUACAUUUAGUUUAACUUUCAUAUUUCCAAAAGAUAUAUCCAUCACCCCAGUUCUACAGUUAAUACAUGCAUUGGCUGUAGCUAGGAAGGGACGAUCGAGAAUCAUAGGGAUCUGUUUCUUAAGGUUCGGCACAGGUUCCAUAUCAAGGACGAUGAAAUCAACUGGAAAAUAAAAUUUAUCUACCUUGACUAGGACAUCUUCAAUUGUUCCUCG